CCUACGGGUGGCAGCAGUGGGGAAUAUUGGACAAUGGGCGAAAGCCUGAUCCAGCCAUGCCGCGUGUGUGAAGAAGGCCUUCGGGUUGUAAAGCACUUUCAGUGGGGAAGAAAGCCUUGGGGCUAAUACCCUCGAGGAAGGACAUCACCCACAGAAGAAGCACCGGCUAACUCCGUGCCAGCAGCCGCGGUAAUACGGAGGGUGCGAGCGUUAAUCGGAAUUACUGGGCGUAAAGCGCGCGUAGGCGGUCUGAUAAGCCGGUUGUGAAAGCCCCGGGCUCAACCUGGGAACGGCAUCCGGAACUGUCGGGGUAGGGUGGAGGGGGGGAGGGUAAAAUUCCCGGGGUGGCGGUGAAAUGCGUAGAGAGCGGGAGGAAUACCAGGGGCGAAGGCGGCCUUCUGGACUGACACUGACGCUGGGGUGCGAAAGCGUGGGUAGCAAACAGGAUUAGAUACCCCGGUAGU
This 464-nucleotide ribosomal RNA is filed under the name Vreelandella stevensii. Its description in RNAcentral is "partial 16S ribosomal RNA". It matches the Rfam family "Bacterial small subunit ribosomal RNA", at positions 338 to 794 of the family's 1533-position model. The record is from RNAcentral. Lineage: Bacteria; Pseudomonadati; Pseudomonadota; Gammaproteobacteria; Oceanospirillales; Halomonadaceae.